GACGAACGCGGCGGCGUGCUUAACACAUGCAAGUCGAACGAAGAGCGAUGGAAGCUUGCUUCUAUCAAUCUUAGUGGCGAACGGGUGAGUAACGCGUAAUCAACCUGCCCUUCAGAGGGGGACAACAGUUGGAAACGACUGCUAAUACCGCAUACGAUUCAACCUUGGCAUCGAGGAUGAAUGAAAGGUGGCCUCUAUAUAUAAGCUAUCACUGAAGGAGGGGAUUGCGUCUGAUUAGCUAGUUGGAGGGGUAACGGCCCACCAAGGCGAUGAUCAGUAGCCGGUCUGAGGGGAUGAACGGCCACAUUGGGACUGAGACACGGCCCAGACUCCUACGGGAGGCAGCAGUGGGGAAUCUUCCGCAAUGGACGAAAGUCUGACGGAGCAACGCCGCGUGAGUGAUGACGGCCUUCGGGUUGUAAAGCUCUGUUAAUCGGGACGAAAGGCCUUCUUGCGAAUAGUGAGAAAGGA
This 471-nucleotide ribosomal RNA is filed under the name Veillonella dispar. RNAcentral describes it as "bacterial SSU rRNA". It matches the Rfam family "Bacterial small subunit ribosomal RNA", at positions 28 to 472 of the family's 1533-position model. Lineage: Bacteria; Bacillati; Bacillota; Negativicutes; Veillonellales; Veillonellaceae. The record is from RNAcentral.